This 238-nucleotide long non-coding RNA is filed under the name Solanum tuberosum (potato). RNAcentral describes it as "long non-coding RNA (STUB_LNC011454)". The record is from RNAcentral. Lineage: Eukaryota; Viridiplantae; Streptophyta; Magnoliopsida; Solanales; Solanaceae.
UGAGGAUUCAAGCUUACUUGUCAAGACACUUGAAGUUGCUUCCCCAAGUUGGUGAGUCCUCAAGUCCGAGAACAAGACCUUAUGAUCUAGCUUCUAUGUUUAGUUCUUUGCUUAUGUUGAAAGACAUUGUUGUACUUUCCUAUUUCAAGACUUCUUAUUGAUGUAAGGGCUAAGUCCCAUUUUCGAUACUUCUAUGUCUAGAUGGUACAUUGUGACGAAGUUAGAUUCUAUUUUUCAU